RNAcentral lists this long non-coding RNA (1336 nucleotides) under Nicotiana benthamiana. RNAcentral describes it as "long non-coding RNA (NBEN_LNC034871)". The record is from RNAcentral. Lineage: Eukaryota; Viridiplantae; Streptophyta; Magnoliopsida; Solanales; Solanaceae.
AACUAUUGGUUUAUAGAGAUGAGAUGCUCAAAGAGGUAGAUAAUACUUCUUCAAAGAGGAUUAAAGAAAAAGAAAAAGAAACAGAUAUAGGCAGUGAUCGUGAUGCCCUGACAAACAGGAAAUAGAGGGUCGGAUCUUGAGAUGGAUUGAAUUGUAAAACACUCUCCUAUACAAGAACUUUUUAAGUAUAUGAAGCUCUCUCUUUUGAGAAUAUUUUUGCCCUUUGGUGACCGACAGUUAGUUACGAAAUUAUAUCCCCAUACUUGUGCACUUCUGUAAGGAUUUCCACCAUAUGUUUAUUCAAUGGUAAGGCUAACUCUCCUAUCGGAAAAGAGGAUUUUGAUGGUGAAUUUUGGAGCCGGUUGUUUGUUCUCAAAUUCAAUCUUUAAUGAAGAGUAGCAGGCGGAUAAACUAAGACCCUGACAGUCGUCAAAGUUUCAGAAUUCAGACAAUUACCUUACAUCCAAAUAACAUUUUGAUUCUGUUAUAUUUACCAGAUGAAGAAAUCACAUGAAUAAGCUUUAUUCCUUUAUGUAUUCUGAUGAUUUCUUUCUGUGAUACGAGCUUUCCAAUUAAAAAGACCAGUCCACUACUAGCUGCAUCAAUACCUAGUUAUAAUUACAUUUGGGAAAAAAACUUAGCCGUAUUUAAAGGGAGAAGAAGAUCCCAGAUAUGCUGCUCCUUAGAGAUUUUAGCCUAUAUGACAGUAGGAUCAGGUACACCAUUCAGAUAUAUUGUCAUUCAUAAUUUGUAAUGGUACAACCUAGAUUAUGCACAAAUAUUUCACAUGUGCAUUAGUGAUGAUCCAACCUAGAUGAUGCACAAACAUUCUUCUAAUUUGUCAUCUCUUGAUAUUGCCGUAUCCUAGUUUGACUUGCUCUUCAAUCUAACCCCCCUUCUCACUUGGAGUAUAUUUUAUUUGACUUUUCAAAGUUCGGAUUCUAGAUGAAACUACCAUUGGAUAAAAAUAUUGCAUGUAGAAUAGAUUGUAAUUGCAAAUAACUACAUUGAUUUUGAAAUAGUAUUAUCGGAGAUGAUCCUUUACUUGAUCAAACAGCUCUUUAAAUUAUCUUUCAAAUAUGUCAAGCCUCUAGUUUAUGGCUGUUUCUCUAUAGUACCAGUUGGGAGAUGAUCCUUUACUUGAUUAAACAGCCCUUUAAAUGAUCUUUCAAAUAUGUCGAGCCUCUAGUUUAUGGCUGUUUCUCUAUAGUACCAGUUGUUGCUUCAUUGAAUUAUUGACUGCACAAGCCAAAAUUUUACGUUUACUAUUGUAUAAAUGUCUCUGUUUCUACCUUAUCCGGAUUUAAAUUUAAACUAAUUUUGUAGCUACAUGGAC